GGCGGUCUGUCGCGUCUGCUGUGAAAUUCCGAGGCUCAACCUCGGGCUUGCAGUGGGUACGGGCAGACUAGAGUGCGGUAGGGGAGAUUGGAAUUCCUGGUGUAGCGGUGGAAUGCGCAGAUAUCAGGAGGAACACCGAUGGCGAAGGCAGAUCUCUGGGCCGUAACUGACGCUGAGGAGCGAAAGGGUGGGGAGCAAACAGGCUUAGAUACCCUGGUAGUCCACCCCGUAAACGUUGGGAACUAGUUGUGGGGUCCUUUCCACGGAUUCCGUGACGCAGCUAACGCAUUAAGUUCCCCGCCUGGGGAGUACGGCCGCAAGGCUAAAACUCAAAGGAAUUGACGGGGACCCGCACAAGCGGCGGAGCAUGCGGAUUAAUUCGAUGCAACGCGAAGAACCUUACCAAGGCUUGACAUACACGAGAACGGGCCAGAAAUGGUCAACUCUUUGGACACUCGUGAACAGGUGGUGCAUGGUUGUCGUCAGCUCGUGUCGUGAGAUGUUGGGUUAAGUCCCGCAACGAGCGCAACCCUCGUUCUAUGUUGCCAGCACGUAAUGGUGGGAACUCAUGGGAUACUGCCGGGGUCAACUCGGAGGAAGGUGGGGAUGACGUCAAAUCAUCAUGCCCCUUAUGUCUUGGGCUUCACGCAUGCUACAAUGGCCGGUACAAUGGGCUGCGAUACCGUAAGGUGGAGCGAAUCCCAAAAAGCCGGUCCCAGUUCGGAUUGAGGUCUGCAACUCGACCUCAUGAAGUCGGAGUCGCUAGUAAUCG
This 772-nucleotide ribosomal RNA is filed under the name uncultured bacterium. Its description in RNAcentral is "bacterial SSU rRNA". It matches the Rfam family "Bacterial small subunit ribosomal RNA", at positions 574 to 1344 of the family's 1533-position model. The record is from RNAcentral.